AUUAACGCUGGCGGCGUGCAUGAGACAUGCAAGUCGAACGGACGGGCGAGCUUGCUCGCCCGUUAGUGGCGGACGGCUGAGUAACGCGUGGGUGACCUGCCCCGAAGUGGGGAAUAACUGCCCGAAAGGGUGGCUAAUACCGCAUGUGGUGACUGGUUCGUUCCAGUCUCCAAAGCCGCAAGGCGCUUCGGGAGGGCCUGCGUCCGAUUAGCUCGUUGGUGGGGUAACGGC
This 231-nucleotide ribosomal RNA is filed under the name uncultured bacterium. RNAcentral's name for it is "partial 16S ribosomal RNA". It matches the Rfam family "Bacterial small subunit ribosomal RNA", at positions 29 to 264 of the family's 1533-position model. The record is from RNAcentral.